UCAAGAAACUUCCACAAUGGGCGAAAGCCUGAUGGAGCGACGUCGCGUGAUGGACGAAGUGCUUCGGCACGUAAACAUCUUUUUAUGUGGGAUGAAAUUAUUGACAGUACCACAUGAAUAAGGGGCUCCUAACUCUGUGCCAGCAGGAGCGGUAAUACAGAGGCCCCAAGCGUUAUCCGGAAUCACUGGGCGUAAAGGGUGUCGAGGCGGUUGUAUUAGUCGUUCGUAAAAUCUACGAGCUUAACUUGUAGGCGGCGAACGAAACGGUACGACUUGAGGUUUGGAGAGGUGCGUGGAACGUCACGGUGUAGGGGUGAAAUCCGUUGAUAUCGUGGGGAACACCAAAGGCGAAGGCAGCGCACUGGCCAAAAUCUGACGCUCACACACGAAAGCUAGGGUAGCGAAGAGGAUUAGAUACCCAGGUAGUCCCUGAGCGGGCUGGCAAGGCGCAU
RNAcentral lists this ribosomal RNA (452 nucleotides) under uncultured bacterium. Its description in RNAcentral is "bacterial SSU rRNA". It matches the Rfam family "Bacterial small subunit ribosomal RNA", at positions 355 to 825 of the family's 1533-position model. The record is from RNAcentral.